AGUGAACGCUGGCGGUAGGCCUAACACAUGCAAGUCGAACGGCAGCACAGUAAGAGCUUGCUCUUACGGGUGGCGAGUGGCGGACGGGUGAGGAAUACAUCGGAAUCUACUUUUUCGUGGGGGAUAACGUAGGGAAACUUACGCUAAUACCGCAUACGACCUACGGGUGAAAGCAGGGGAUCUUCGGACCUUGCGCGAUUGAAUGAGCCGAUGUCGGAUUAGCUAGUUGGCGGGGUAAAGGCCCACCAAGGCGACGAUCCGUAGCUGGUCUGAGAGGAUGAUCAGCCACACUGGAACUGAGACACGGUCCAGACUCCUACGGGAGGCAGCAGUGGGGAAUAUUGGACAAUGGGCGCAAGCCUGAUCCAGCCAUACCGCGUGGGUGAAGAAGGCCUUCGGGUUGUAAAGCCCUUUUGUUGGGAAAGAAAAGCAGCAGGUUAAUACCGCGCUGUUCUGACGGUACCCAAAGAAUAAGCACCGGCUAACUUCGUG
RNAcentral lists this ribosomal RNA (492 nucleotides) under uncultured bacterium. RNAcentral describes it as "partial 16S ribosomal RNA". It matches the Rfam family "Bacterial small subunit ribosomal RNA", at positions 29 to 507 of the family's 1533-position model. The record is from RNAcentral.